RNAcentral lists this ribosomal RNA (330 nucleotides) under uncultured eukaryote. Its description in RNAcentral is "partial 18S ribosomal RNA". It matches the Rfam family "Eukaryotic small subunit ribosomal RNA", at positions 1470 to 1796 of the family's 1831-position model. The record is from RNAcentral.
CCCUUAGAUGUUCUGGGCCGCACGCGCGCUACACUGAGCCCUUCAUCGAGUUUACAACCUUGGCCGGUAGGUCUGGGUAAUCUUCUCAAAGGGGCUCGUGCUGGGGAUAGAUUAUUGUAAUUUUUAAUCUUCAACGAGGAAUUCCUAGUAAACGCAAGUCAACAGCUUGCAUUGAUUACGUCCCCGCCCUUUGUACACACCGCCCGUCGCUACUACCGAUUGAAUGGCUUAGUGAGCCCGAGGGACUGUUGCACCUAGAGGGUUUUCUCUCCAGGAGCAGCCGGGAACUCGGUCAAACUUGAUCAUUUAGAGGAAGUAAAAGUCGUAACA